RNAcentral lists this ribosomal RNA (504 nucleotides) under uncultured bacterium. RNAcentral's name for it is "partial 16S ribosomal RNA". It matches the Rfam family "Bacterial small subunit ribosomal RNA", at positions 29 to 523 of the family's 1533-position model. The record is from RNAcentral.
AUUGAACGCUGGCGGCAUGCCUUACACAUGCAAGUCGAACGGCAGCAUGGAGAGCUUGCUCUCUGAUGGCGAGUGGCGAACGGGUGAGUAAAGCAUCGGAACGUACCGUGUAGUGGGGGAUAACGUAGCGAAAGUUACGCUAAUACCGCAUACGCACUGAGGUGGAAAGCAGGGGAUCGCAAGACCUUGCGCUAUACGACCGGCCGGGGGCAGAUUAGCAAGGUGGUAGGGUAAAGGCCUACCAAGGCCACGAUCUGUAGCGGGUCUGAGAGGAUGAUCGGCCACACUGGGACUGAGACACGGCCCAGACUCCUCCGGGAGGCAGAAGUGGGGAAUUUUGGACAAUGGGGGAAACCCUGAUCCAGCCAUGCCGCGUGAGUGAAGAAGGCCUUCGGGUUGUAAAGCUCUUUCGGCUGGGAAGAAAUCGCACAGGCUAAUACUCUGUGUGGAUGACGGUACCAGCAUAAGAAGCACCGGCUAACUACGUGCCAGCAGCCGCCGUAA